This 206-nucleotide ribosomal RNA is filed under the name uncultured bacterium. Its description in RNAcentral is "partial 16S ribosomal RNA". It matches the Rfam family "Bacterial small subunit ribosomal RNA", at positions 568 to 774 of the family's 1533-position model. The record is from RNAcentral.
CGCGUAGGCGGCCUGCUAAGUCUGGAGUGAAAGUCCUGCUUUCAAGGUGGGAAUUGCUUUGGAUACUGGUGGGCUGGAGUGCAGGAGAGGAAAGCGGAAUUACCGGUGUAGCGGUGAAAUGCGUAGAGAUCGGUAGGAAUACCAGUGGCGAAGGCGGCUUUCUGGCCUGAAACUGACGCUGAGGCGCGAAAGCGUGGGAGCAAACA